CCUACGGGGGGCUGCAGUGGGGGAUAUUGCACAAUGGGGGGAACCCUGAUGCAGCGACGCCGCGUGGGUGAAGAAGCGCCUCGGCGCGUAAAGCCCUGUCAGCAGGGAAGAAAAUGACGGUACCUGACGAAGAAGCCCCGGCUAACUACGUGCCAGCAGCCGCGGUAAUACGUAGGGGGCAAGCGUUAUCCGGAUUUACUGGGUGUAAAGGGGGCGCAGACGGCGAUGCAAGCCAGGAGUGAAAGCCCGGGGCCCAACCCCGGGACUGCUCUUGGAACUGCGUGGCUGGAGUGCAGGAGGGGCAGGCGGAAUUCCUGGUGUAGCGGUGAAAUGCGUAGAUAUCAGGAGGAACACCGGUGGCGAAGGCGGCCUGCUGGACUGCAACUGACGUUGAGGCCCGAAAGCGUGGGGAGCAAACAGGAUUAGAUACCCCAGUAGUC
This 440-nucleotide ribosomal RNA is filed under the name uncultured bacterium. RNAcentral describes it as "partial 16S ribosomal RNA". It matches the Rfam family "Bacterial small subunit ribosomal RNA", at positions 338 to 795 of the family's 1533-position model. The record is from RNAcentral.